Molecule: long non-coding RNA, 192 nt
Organism: Solenopsis invicta (red fire ant)
Lineage: Eukaryota; Metazoa; Arthropoda; Insecta; Hymenoptera; Formicidae
Exons: 3
Source: RefSeq, a predicted model, not a curated record
UAUCAACGAACGGAAAUCAUGUGAAAUCCUCUUGACGCUAUUGUUAUUUCAUCGAGGUGCAGCGCAAUCAGUGCACGAUCAUCCUUCAGGUAGCAGUGGAAUUUUAAUAGCGCUUCGUCAGUGUUCACUAUCGACGGGAUCGAAGAUCAAUGUAGAGCUGUGCUGCAAUCCCUCCAUUCGCAUCGUAUUGGU